UGAGGUAGAGGUCGCGAGGUUCAUUACCCCUGUGGAGCAAAGCAAAUGCGCAGAAACAGGACUAGGGAACAUCGCCGAAAUGAAUAAAUCUUUGCUUGGUUUAUUUGUUGGGACGCAAGUCAAUAGCUUGCGGACUGUCUUAGCAACUUGCUAAGAUGCGCUAUG
Molecule: non-coding RNA, 165 nt
Filed under: Enterococcus massiliensis
Lineage: Bacteria; Bacillati; Bacillota; Bacilli; Lactobacillales; Enterococcaceae
Description: Lysine riboswitch
Rfam family: Lysine riboswitch aptamer
About the family: Riboswitches are metabolite binding domains within certain messenger RNAs that serve as precision sensors for their corresponding targets. Allosteric rearrangement of mRNA structure is mediated by ligand binding, and this results in modulation of gene expression. This family includes riboswitches that sense lysine in a number of genes involved in lysine metabolism, including lysC.
Source: RNAcentral